Molecule: ribosomal RNA, 2268 nt
Filed under: human metagenome
Description: bacterial LSU rRNA
Rfam family: Bacterial large subunit ribosomal RNA
Source: RNAcentral
AAAUACUACCCAGUGACCGAUAGCGUAUAGUACUGUGAAGGAAAGGUGAAAAGCACCCCGGGAGGGGAGUGAAAAAGAACCUGAAACCCUGUGCCUACAAGCACCUAGAGCACGUCAAUGUGUGAUAGGGUACUUUUUGUAGAACGGUCCGGCGAGCGAUUGUAUGCAGCAAGGUUAAGGACUUAAGGUCUGGAGCCGAAGCGAAAGCGAGUUUGAAAAGGGCGUUAAGUUGCAUACAAUGGGCCCGAAACCGGGUGACCUACCCAUGGUCAGGUUGAAGUGGAAGUAAAAUUCCAUGGAGGACCGAACCGACCUCCGUUGAAAAGGCGGCGGAUGAACUGUGGGUAGCGGAGAAAUUCCAAUCGAACCCGGAGAUAGCUGGUUCUCCCCGAAAUAGUUUUAGGACUAGCCUCAAGUUAGAUACCUGGAGGUAAAGCACUGAAUAGCCUAGCGGCCGAGAGGUUAGCGAAGCUUAUCAAACUCAGAAUGCCAGAGUAUUGAUGCUUGGGAGUCAGACAGUGUCAGAUAAAUGUCAUUGUCAAAAGGGAAACAGCCCAGAUCUACAGCUAAGGUCCCAAAGUCAGGUUAAGUGGAAAACGAUGUGAAGAUACGUAGACAACCAGGAUGUUGGCUCAGAAGCAGCCACUCAUUCAAAGAGUGCGUAAUAGCUCACUGGUCGAGCGUCUUUGCGCGGAGAAUUUAACGGGGCUAAACCUGACACCGAAGCUUAGGCAAUACAGCAAUGUAUUGGGUAGGGGAGCGUUGUAUACGCGGUGAAACAGUAGCGCAAGCGGCUGUGGAGUGUAUAGAAGUGAGAAUGCCGGAAUGAGUAGCGCGAAUGCAGUGAGAAUCUGCAUGGCCGAAAGCCUCAGGUUUCUGGAGGAAGGUUCGUCCGCUCCAGGUUAGUCGGGAGCUAAGGUGAGGCCUAACGGCGUAGCCGAUGCACAGACGGUAGAGAUUCCGUCACCACCAAAAGAGUUAAGCACAGGGACACAUAUGAAGUCUCAGAGCCGGGUGUUGGUUCCGGUAGAGAUCGAGGGAAAUUAGUACCGAAGUCUGAGAUGGAAGAUGGCGAGAAAAGCUGUGUGUAUUUCUGAGGUGCCCGUACCGCAAACCGACACAGGUAGGUAGGAAGAAGAUUCUAAGGCCAACGGGAGAAGGGUUGUUAAGGAACUCGGCAAGUUGACCCCGUAACUUCGGAAUAAGGGGAGCCUCGAAAGAGGCCGCAGUGAAUAGGCCCAAGCAACUGUUUACCAAAAACACAGGUUUAUGCUAAAUCGAAAGAUGACGUAUAUGAGCUGACGCCUGCCCGGUGCCGGAAGGUUAAGAGGAGAUGUCAGGCAACGAAGCAUUGAAUUGAAGCCCCGGUAAACGGCGGCCGUAACUAUAACGGUCCUAAGGUAGCGAAAUUCCUUGUCAGGUAAGUUCUGACCCGCACGAAAGGCGUAAUGAUUUGGGCACUGUCUCAACAGCCCGCCCGGCGAAAUUGUAGUACCGGUGAAGAUGCCGGUUACCCGCGACAAGACGGAAAGACCCCAUGGAGCUUUACUGUAGCCUAAUAUUGGGUUUCGAUGUUGCAUGCACAGGAUAGAUGGGACACAGGGAAACAAGUGCUUUGGCAUUUGUGGAGUGGCCGUUGGGAUACCAUCCUUGCGAUAUUGGAAUUCUAACCUGCGCCUUUGAAUCAAGGCGGGGGACAUUGUUAGGUGGGCAGUUUGACUGGGGCGGUCGCCUCCUAAAGAGUAACGGAGGCGUUCAAAGGUUCGCUCAGCUUGAACGGAAAUCAAGCAAAAGAGUGCAAACGCAGAAGCGAGCCUAACUGCGAGACUGACGGGUCGAGCAGUAACGAAAGUUGGAGUUAGUGAUCCGGUGGUAUGUGAGUGGAAAUGCCAUCGCUCAACGGAUAAAAGCUACCCUGGGGAUAACAGGCUGAUCUCCCCCAAGAGUCCACAUCGACGGGGAGGUUUGGCACCUCGAUGUCGGCUCAUCGCAUCCUGGGGCUGUAGUCGGUCCCAAGGGUUGGGCUGUUCGCCCAUUAAAGCGGUACGCGAGCUGGGUUCAGAACGUCGUGAGACAGUUCGGUCCCUAUCUGUCGUGGGCGCAGGAUAUUUGAUGGGAGCUGUCCCUAGUACGAGAGGACCGGGACGGACGUACCUCUGGCGCACCAGUUGUUCCGCCAGGAGCAUAGCUGGGCAACUACGUACGGAUCGGAUAAACGCUGAAAGCAUCUAAGCGUGAAGCCGACCCAAAGAUAAGAUAUCCCAUUGU